GAGUUUGAUCGUGGCUCAGAACGAACGCUGGCGGCAGGCCUCAAACAUGCAAGUCUAGGGGGCGUAGCAAUACGUCACCGGCGGACGGGUGCGUAACACGUGGGAAUGUACCUACUGGUUCGGAACAACUCAGGGAAACUUGAGCUAAUACCGAAUGAGCCCGAAAGGGGAAAGAUUUAUCGCCAGUAGAUCAGCCCGCGUCCGAUUAGCUAGUUGGUGAGGUAAAGGCUCACCAAGGCGACGAUCGGUAGCUGUUCUGAGAGGAAGAUCAGCCACACUGGGACUGAGACACGGCCCAGACUCCUACGGGAGGCAGCAGUUGGGAAUCUUGGACAAUGGGGGAAACCCUGAUCCAGCCAUGCCGCGUGAGUGAUGAAGGCCUUCGGUUGUAAACU
This 395-nucleotide ribosomal RNA is filed under the name uncultured Alphaproteobacteria bacterium. RNAcentral's name for it is "bacterial SSU rRNA". It matches the Rfam family "Bacterial small subunit ribosomal RNA", at positions 9 to 432 of the family's 1533-position model. Lineage: Bacteria; Pseudomonadati; Pseudomonadota; Alphaproteobacteria. The record is from RNAcentral.